RNAcentral lists this ribosomal RNA (253 nucleotides) under uncultured bacterium. RNAcentral describes it as "partial 16S ribosomal RNA". It matches the Rfam family "Bacterial small subunit ribosomal RNA", at positions 524 to 776 of the family's 1533-position model. The record is from RNAcentral.
UACGGAGGGUGCGAGCGUUUAUCGUAAUUACCGGGCGUGUAGCGUGCGCAGGCGGCUUUGCAAGACAGAUGUGAAAUCCCCGGGCUCAACCUGGGAACUGCAUUUGUGACUGCAAGGCUAGAGUACGGCAGAGGGGGAUGGAAUUCCGCGUGUAGCAGUGAAAUGCGUAGAUAUGCGGAGGAACACCAAUGGCGAAGGCAAUCCCCUGGGCCUGUACUGACGCUCAUGCACGAAAGCGUGGGGAGCAAACAGG